Molecule: small nuclear RNA, 107 nt
Filed under: Phascolarctos cinereus (koala)
Lineage: Eukaryota; Metazoa; Chordata; Mammalia; Diprotodontia; Phascolarctidae
Source: RNAcentral
GUACUCACAGGGGUAACAGAUGUACUAAAAUUGGAAUGAUACAGAGAUGAUUAGCAUGGCUCCUGUGGAAAGAUGAUACAAAACUUUCGCAAAUGUCUUGUAUUUGG